Molecule: ribosomal RNA, 583 nt
Filed under: uncultured Craterellus
Lineage: Eukaryota; Fungi; Basidiomycota; Agaricomycetes; Cantharellales; Hydnaceae
Description: eukaryotic LSU rRNA
Rfam family: 5.8S ribosomal RNA (bases 123-321)
Source: RNAcentral
GCAUGCCCAGAAAGCAUGUUUAUCCUCAAUUGAGGAUAGUGGAUUGUGUGAAAGCACAUUCGUAUGAUAUGAUUGAGAGUUGGCACUCAAUGUAUCUCUAAAAAAGCCAAUGGCUUAUUUACAACUUUCAGCAAUGGAUCUCUUGGUUCUCGCAUCGAUGAAGAACGCAGUGAAAUGCGAUAACUGGUGUGAAUUGCAUCUAUGUAACUCUAAUUUACGAAUAACACCAAGUGAAUCAUCGAGUCUUUGAACGCAAUUGCGCCCUCUCGGUCGCUUCCAAUUGGGGGUUGACUCAUAGGGGGUACAUCUGUUUGAGGGUCAUUUGUACCUUCUCAAAGGAUUUUUUAUUAUUAUUAUUAAAGAACCUUUGGAUUUGGGUCUUGCUGUGAUCAUCUCUCAGCUGACCUUGAAAGCAUUAGCAAGCUUUUUCUGAGUCUUUUCUAGAUGAGGCGUUCUAAACAGUUGACGUCUUCACAAUAAAAAGAACAGAGUGCUUAAGCCUGCUUCUAAUCAUACGGCCAUUAUUUUUCAAUGACCUCAAAUCAGAUGAGACUACCCGCUGAACUUAAGCAUAUCAUAAGCG